AAGUUCUAAAUAAAAAUGUUUAUUUUGCGUUAUAAACACCACAGGACACUUGAAAGAAAGACAGGUAUGGUUUACAAAUUUUGCACUUCAUAUCAGUUUAACCAGUCACAGUUAACAGGUUGUGGAUGUUUUUAGUCAAAUUGAUAAUUGCCUUGAUCUGCUGACUGAGGAAACCAGGGAACAGACUCCCAGUGAAAGCCUGAAAGUACUGGAUCCUGGAAUCCAGAUUCAGGCAUAUAUUUUUGGUUCUCCAGGAAUUGGCCAGCCCUCGGAAAAUGUGAUAUUGGUACAGGAAAGGGAAGCUUGUGAAAAGAAGUGUCUUGACGAAUUUGGCCUGGAUACUCAGUAAUGGCGGGUUUUCCACGGGAGCACUUUUUAGUUGUAGUAGCAGGUGUAGUAGCAGGUGUAGUGGGGGAAGCUGUGGUACUGCAAGGCCGGGCAGGUUUCAACGGUGUCGAUGGGAAAGGUUUGUAGGGGUAGUUGGGGCUAUUAAUGUAAUAUGGAUUGUACGGAUAAUAGGGAGGAGGCGCAGGAGUGUUGGGUUUUGAGAACUCUGCCACAUAUAUGUAGUACGGACAGGAAUAAUAUGACAGAUAAUGAGGGUCACAGAUGGGAGGCCAUCCUAUAUGUCGUUUAGAACGACGACGGCUAUUGGACCCAGGAGAAAAAGAAACUUCCCAGGGCUGUUGCAAAGGCUCAGAGGCAGUUGAACCAGGUGUUGAAUCAGGACUUGGCAACAUGGGGCAGGCAAAUUUAACUGGAGUCUCUUGCAAUCUCAUUUGCAACACGUAUCGUCCAUUCUGAAACAAGAUUGAACAAGCAGCCAAGCUGGUUAUACCCUGAUUUCAACCUGGUUUUAAACAUUUCUGACUUAGACGAGACAAAAUUUUAAACUACCAUGAAAGAGGUUACCUUCAGAAUUCUAAUGGUUUGUUCAUUUGCAAUCAUGAAACUCCCUUUACCCAGUUCAUUUAUUAGUAGCAAAGACAUACCUCUUGUAUCACAUUGCAGCCAUCAUAAGGAACAAUUAAAUCAAGGCCCAGCUCAUUCUGCUGCAUCAAGUAGUCACAAGUUUCCAGCACCUGCAUCAGAGGCAAGGGAGGUGCAUUGCCUGAGAGAGGGACAAAAAGACCAAUAUUCAAUGACAAAUACUGUCAUGUGCUUACAGCUUUAAUACAAUCUUAGAGUUGAACUUUGGAGAAGUUACACUAGAUUUUCCUACCCAUGUCCAGUUGUAAGUCAGCAGCACCAAGUCCUGUGAACAUUAGCUUCAUCUUGUCAAGACCACAGUGUAGUGAAGAGGUCAAGCGCUUCCAUUCUGCUUUAUUAGAGAAGUCCUUCUCCAGCUCCAACAUCUCUUUAGGAAUAAAGAUGUUCCAACAUAGAGUCAAUUGCAACAUCCUUGGGUUUUGUAUCAUACUGUACAUAACAUAUCAAAUAAGUAGAUAAUCAAACAAGUCUUACCUGUGCUGUCUGAUGGAUCCAAGUCAACACGUAGCAGUUCAUUUCCUGGAGCAGAAGCAGAUCCUGACUGGAAGUUAAGCUCUUUCCCAUUAAUGCCAAUGCUUCCUGUCUUUACAUCAAUGGCUGGUGCUUCAUUACCUCCCUUGUCUUCUUUAACUGCUUUGCUCAACCCUUGCAAGCUAAGAGAAGUGGAAUUUGGGACUAAAGAGCACAGGAGCAAAAUGACGGCCACAAUGUGACGUGCUCUACGUCUCCCUCCAGCUUCACAUUCCAUAAUGGAGAUGCACACCUGAACCAGAUGGAAAGCACUGUGCUAUGAAGCAGAGCAACUGAAUCGCAGCCUUUAAUACUGGCAUUUCAGCUACCACUUGCACAUGUGUUAAUUAGGGUCACAACAGGUGAGCUCAUUAAGAUCCUUUGUCGUCUCAUUCCAGGUUUGUACUCAAGCAAAAUAAGUCAACUCUGACCAUCUAUCACAUGGCAUUAAACAAUACACAUGCUGUUUUUGCCAGCUAUUUUUGCUGUCAAGUUUUAUUUUAACUAAUAAGUGCUUGGUUGAUUACUCCUCGUGAGCAGCAGAACCUACAGACAAGAAUAAUAAAGACCCACCUGAGAUAUGCAUGGUCUGCCCAUAGCACAAACAAGCUUCCAUAACGUGCCCCUUUGUAACAAAUUAAUGCAAGUUUCACAUGUCAUCACAGUGGGUUUUCA
Long non-coding RNA from Amphiprion ocellaris (clown anemonefish), 2175 nucleotides. Lineage: Eukaryota; Metazoa; Chordata; Actinopteri; Pomacentridae. The record is from Ensembl.